This is a long non-coding RNA of Oncorhynchus gorbuscha (pink salmon), 2832 nucleotides long. RefSeq lists it as uncharacterized. The transcript is spliced from 2 exons. The record is from RefSeq and is a predicted model, not a curated record. Lineage: Eukaryota; Metazoa; Chordata; Actinopteri; Salmoniformes; Salmonidae.
UCGAGCUGUGUAUAGACACCGGGGGUGGUUGAGCUGUGUAUAGACACCGGGGGUGGUCGAGCUGUGUAAAGACACCAGGGGUGGUCGAGCUGUGUAUAGACACCGGGGGUGGUCGAGCUGUGUAUAGACACCAGGGGUGGUUGAGCUGUGUAUAGACACCGGGGGUGGUUGAGCUGUGUAUAGACACCGGGGGUGGUUGAGCUGUGUAAAACAGAGUGGAGACAACAGAAGAAGAGAAGUUCACUCAGGAACUGGCUAGUCAUAAAAUGGCAUGUUAAUGUGUGUGCAGACAUCUACAAGCAUGGGAGAAUGCGGAAAAAAACCUACAUAAAAGAAUCAUUAGUCAGAACUUGAGGGCGUUGGAACAGUGGAGUCGAAUAUCAUGUCAAAGAUAACAAAAUGUUAGUAAGUAGUUAAUUAGUGUGUAGUUAAUGAAUACAGAGCCCUUACUGUAGUCUUAACACACAGAAACCUGCCUCAGUAUUUAAAACACUGGAAGUCCCAUCUCUUCUGUUGUACAUAGACCAGAUGAAAAUAGGUGCCGUGGUAAUAUUCAACAGUGACCAGAAUGCAUAGACUUGUAGAAUCAUGGAAACGCUGCAUUAUAUUUGAUGUUGAAUCUGGACAACAAAUAUAAAAGGGGGCGGGCUCCCACAGCAGAGAUAGGAAGCACAGUGAAAAAAUAAACACCUUUUUCUUAGAGGUUAAAAGCAAAGUGGAAACCAGGCUGAGCCUCAAGAAACUGGUUCCCAUUUGAAGUCCAGUCAUUUGGUAGAACGAGGGGGAGAUGUACUGUAUGUUGUUACAAGAGGUGACCACGAGUAAAAAAAGGACCAGAGCAUGUGACAGGAAAAGGAAGUGGUUAGCUCAGAACAGGAAGUGGGCUUGUUUCUGUGUGGUGAGCUGACUAGUUGUCCGGUGGUGAGGACCCCAGUGGUCAGGAGGUGAAGAGUGGGCGUGGCCGGGGACAUCAGAGGGAGUUGUUAAGGGGGGCAAAGAGCCUGGUCAUAGCCUCUCCUUCUGCCCUCUCCUACUCCACAGAGAGCUGGCUCCAGACCGUCUUCCUGUCUCUCUCUCCACACUCCUUCCCUGGUCAUAACGCUCUCCCUCUUUCUUUCUCCAGAUCUCUCCGUUUUAUCUCUAGGUGUAAUGUUUUGGUCCCCUACAGAUCUAUCCAUUUUAUUUCUAGGUGUAAUGGUUUGGCUCCCUCCAGAUCUAUAUGUGGUAUCUCUAGGUGUAAUGGUUUGGCACCCUACAAAUCUAUCCGUUUUAUCUCUAUGUGUAAUGGUUUGGCCUCCUCCAGAUCUAUCCAUUUUAUCUCUAGGUGUAAUGAAUUGGUCUCAUCCAGAUCUAUCGGUUUUAUCUCUAGGUGUAAUGGUUUGGUCCCAUCCAGAUCUGUUUUAUCUCUAGGUGUAAUGGUUUGGUCUCAUCCAGAUCUAUCCGUUUUAUCUCUAGGUGUAAUGGUUUGGUCUCAUCCAGAUCUGUUUUAUCUCUAGGUGUAAUGGUUUGGUCUCAUCCAGAUCUAUCUGUUUUAUCUCUAGGUGUAAUGGUUUGGCACCCUCCCCAGCAUGCUGACUGCACCUGCAGGACAACAGAAUAGAGGGAGGGGAACCGCAGGAGGACCGUACAGCAACCAACAGGGGGGAGGUAGAGGUCUAGUUCUGUUUCUUGGACCCCUCGUCGCCGUAACUGGAGCCCGUCUUCUUUACCUCGGUGACACCGAUCAGGCGCCGGAUGGCUAUGGAGGCUGAAGAGGACCAAAAAGAAAAAAACAGAGAUGGACCAAAUCUCAAGAGGCAAAAAAACCCUCACAAAAUUAUAAUAUUUACUUACAUGUAACUUUGUUGUCAGGAACUAUACACAUUAGUCAACAUUUCAGUUACCUUCAUGUGUAUGUUGGAGUUAGCUACUGCAUAAAGCUCAUUGUUAUUGGAUCAAGGUCCCAGGCCAAGGUAACAGUGGAGAGGAAGUGCUUGCGGCUGUUGUGUACCCUCUACUCACCUACGAUGAGGAAGAGGCUGAAGCCGAGGAUGAGGAGGGGGGAGCCGCUGACCACCACCCCGCAGGCGAAGUUGAUGAGGGGUGAGAGCAGCAGGGCCGCCCAGAACAGGAAGUUGAGUAGCGUCCACAACCGGCGAGGAGGGGUGAUGGUUGGACCCGGGAAAGUGCCCUCUUUAUGGUAGUGCUCCUGCAAAGCAUCCUGGAGAGAGACAAUGUCAAGGAAAGAAAGCAUCUCUACAUUUAACACUAUUCAGUUAAACCACAAGCACCAAAAGAGCCUUACCUUCUCCUGGUAGAGUUUAUGAAGCCAGUUGGCACACUCCUCCUCAUCUUCUGGGAUCUCCUCUACAGGGAACCGCCUACAGGCCAGAGAAGAGGAGACGGCAGUCAACACAAUGCAGGAGAUAGCGGGGGGGGGGGGGGGCUGCUGUGGCAACAGAAUGCAGGAGAAUGAGCGUCUGCUGUGGCAACAGAAUGCAGGAGAAUGAGCGUCUGCUGUGGCAACAGAAUGCAGGGGAAUGAGCCUCUGCUGUGGCAGCAGAAUGCAGGAGAAUGAGCGUCUGCUGUGGCAACAGAAUGCAGGAGAAUGAGCGUCUGCUGUGGCAACAGAAUGCAGGAGAAUGAGCGUCUGCAUUCUCACCACCAGGGAGCAAACUGACUCAAGGUUCAGAUGGGGGUUCCUCAUACAGUAAAAGUAAGACUGGGCCAUAAAACAAGCAUCUGUUUUUUUGCCACACCAGGCUACUUUUCCCGUUGAACCUCACACAGGGCUCAUUCAUGCAGGGGAGGUGUCUUGAUCUGCCAUCUAAUAAAAAAGGCAAUGAAACAGAG